UGAAUCUGUAAAACACAAGAAAAGGUUGAUUGGUGGGUAAGAACAGUGACAUCCAUCAAGGCAGGUAACGUCUGUAAUCAGUUUCUUCACUAAGACCCAGUCUCUCUCUAGUCUGUCUGUGCCUCUGGGGAGGAGCUCUCUGCCAGGCCAGGCCUGUGACUGCUGUCCCUGCUCCCAUCUGCUCCUCCUCUCUGUGAGGUAGCCCAGCUGCAUCAUCACUCAACCUAACGUCUGCUCAGCGCUGGUCAUGUCACUCUCCUACUCAGAACCCUUCAACAGCUCCCAAAACUUCAUUCAAAGGCCACCACCAUCCAAACCUCAGCCCUUAUGCAGACUCCACACUUCACCAAAAUGGUCUGCUUGUCAUUGCCUGACAUGGCAAUGAUGAAAACAACAAGUGAGCUGAGGAUCUCCAUGAUACCCCACUGACCUGCCCAACUACACUUGGUCAGAUGUGAGCUAUCCUGAGGCAGCCAGGACCAUGUGCCUCCUCCCCGCAUGUGCCCACAACUGCUGGGAUGGCUGACUUCUCUUCCCUGAGCCCGCCCUCAACGUUGCCUCAGCGUGAGUCAGCUGCUACCAAGGCAUGGAGCUGGCAAGUAUAAUGGAACUCCCCUGCUACUCGAGCUCAGGCACUUAAUAGCUGUGUUAUUUAGGUCAAGCUACUUCUUUCAGACUGUUCCCUGGCCUGCAGAAUGGUGAUGCCACCACCUAGCGCACAGGGUUGUUGGAAGGAUUAAAGGAGAAUGUAUGUAAAAUGCCUGAUACAUAAAAAGUAUACAAUAAAUGUUCCCCUAGUGCUAAAGUAAAGCUUGCUGAGGAAAGACUGGGGCAAUGUCAAAUGAGAGUUAAGACUAGAAAGAAAGACAAAACCAAGCUGUUGUCUAGGCAGAGCUUCACAGCAGGUGUGUCAGGAAUGGCUUACGGGUUUGGUCAAGUGACCCUACAGUUUACUGUCUAACCUGGAACAACUGUGAGAAUUAAAGGAGUCACCAUUAAUAAUUAUCCCAAGACUACAGAUGCAAACAGACCCAAGUUUACCCUAGAAUAGGUGGAACGGGACAUGGAUGCCCGUCAGCCCUUGGGAUAGCAGGGCAGAGCCUGGGCUGCAGAGGCUCCAGGUAGUUUGCUCCCGGAGGAGCCUCAAUGUGCUCUUCAAAUAGUUUCAUAUUCUAUGUGUGUCAGGGCAUGAAAGAGGUCAGGAAACACUGGUCUAGGUAACUUAAAAAAAAAAAAGGCAAAAAAAUACAGUUUGAAGCACUGAGAUUAUCCCAAGCUUACAGGGGGCCCAGUUAAUUAUACUCACAGACCAGCUCAUGUACUUCCUGCUAAGGUCUAGCCUUACAGACUACAAUUAAAACAUUCUGGUAAUUGUUUAGGGUUUUAAAGAAGGAAUAGCAAUAGUCACCACCGUCAUGUCUCUAACUCUUUACAGUGGGUUGCCCUGUAAAGUGAAACUUCUGUUCUGCAACAGCAGAAUUUUUACUUUUUUUCCCAGGCCAUUACAGGAGAGAGUAAACUAAAGCAGGCAGGAGAGCCCAGAGCAUUACAAUGAGGCUUUAACUGCACAUUCUAGAAAGACAUCAGAAACUACUUAAAAGGUUUUCACAUGAGAUUACCACUAUCAUCUUUCAAGCAGGGAGAAAGGGAAAAUGAAGAGACCUAUGCCUAUUUUACUCUCAGAGGCCAGCUCUGAAGGUCAAAUUGUAAGGGGUCUCACUGGAAUACAAACUGUAAAACCAUUUAGAAAACUUAAACUUAUAUUUUAAAGCUCUUGGAAAGCCUGGGUUUUGUGAAAAAGGAAAGAAGAGACAAAUCAUAGUACGUUUCCUUUCUCUCACAGAGCACCCUGUGCACACCUUCUGGCUGCAUUUGGAUCCAGUGAAAAUGUGCUGUGUGUUCACUGUGUUGGGUGUUCACCUCUAUCACCCACACACGGUUCCUAAGAAUUGAGUGCUGGUCUCUUUUAUCACAGCUCUUCGCUAUUACUUCUAAGUGUGUAAUUAGUACACAGAAUCCGACAGACCAAAGUCCUAAAGUUCACUCCCAGAAAGGUUCCAAAUUAAUUUCUAGAAUAAAAAAAAGUUAAGAUAAUUAUCAAGCCAGUCAUCUCACAAAUAUGGGUCAGUGACGGAGGGCUCGACACAGUGACCCACAACCUUUUACUGUAAAGGAACCUUCUACUGCCUUUUUCCUGGGCCUAAAGUAUUUUGUCUAAUUAAUGAAAUAGAAUUUAUCUUCCUUUUUUGUAUCACUUAUUCCACCCUCUCACUAAUUCAGAUUUUAAACCAAUGACCUAUAAUUACCAACAGUGUAUAAGGUGGAAUUAUGUAAGGUUCUGUCAUCAUUGUGAGGACAAGGCUAUCAUGUUAAGUAAGAACAAACACUCAAGCCACCAGUCCUGUAACCAAGGCUGCGCGUCUCCAGGCCCACCACACACUGGAUGUGUUCAGGUGGGGGACAGAGCUCCUUACAGCCCUGGUAACAGUGGCCCUGUUAACAGUCAGGCUGACUAAUCAAGCGUCAGAAACUCCCAGAAUGCCAUCAAUAGCUAGAGUUUCUGAUCUACAUGGGAUAUGCAGUGUUGGGACAAUCAAUAUAAAUCCAGGAAAGGCCUGAUGGUUCUAUGAGUCUUUGUAGUCUCACUGAAGUAAGACUACAAUUUCCUUCAGGUUUUUGAAAUUCAAAAAUUGCCCAUUGACUUCUAAUGGUCUGAAAGCCCCAACUGGGAAUCACUGGCAUAUCCCAAUCCUACGAACAUAAAAAUAGCCAGCUGCAGACUUACUAACAUUUUCACCUUCCCAUACAAGAGACCUUAUGUGUUAAGACUGGUGAAGAUAGCAUCAGAUAUAGGCAAGAAAAAAGCAGAAGGUAUAUCAGAUGGUAACAAUAAAGGCUAACAUUUAACAGGA
This is a long non-coding RNA of Myotis lucifugus (little brown bat), 2912 nucleotides long. RefSeq lists it as uncharacterized. The record is from RefSeq and is a predicted model, not a curated record. The transcript is spliced from 2 exons. Lineage: Eukaryota; Metazoa; Chordata; Mammalia; Chiroptera; Vespertilionidae.